UACGCCGGCCAAAGUUGGUGGGAACCACCCGUUCCCAUUCCGAACACGGUAGUUAAACCACCAAACGUCUGCGGUUGUACUGGACGCCGAGAGGGUCUGGGAAGCCGUGGAAGCUGGCGGCC
RNAcentral lists this ribosomal RNA (122 nucleotides) under Candidatus Methanomethylicaceae archaeon. The record is from RNAcentral. Lineage: Archaea; Thermoproteati; Thermoproteota; Methanosuratincolia; Candidatus Methanomethylicales; Candidatus Methanomethylicaceae.